RNAcentral lists this ribosomal RNA (590 nucleotides) under uncultured bacterium. Its description in RNAcentral is "bacterial SSU rRNA". It matches the Rfam family "Bacterial small subunit ribosomal RNA", at positions 338 to 918 of the family's 1533-position model. The record is from RNAcentral.
CCUACGGGAGGCAGCAGUGGGGAAUAUUGCGCAAUGGGCGAAAGCCUGACGCAGCGACGCCGCGUGGGGGAUGAAGGUCUUCGGAUUGUAAACUCCUGUUAAGUGGGAAGAAAGAAUUGCUUUUAAUAGAAGCAAGUGAUGACGGUACCAUUAGAGAAAGCACCGGCUAACUUCGUGCCAGCAGCCGCGGUAAUACGAGGGGUGCUAGCGUUAUUCGGAAUCAUUGGGCGUAAAGGGUGUGUAGACGGCGUAUCAAGUCAACUGUUAAAUUCUCCGGCCUAACUGGAGGUCUGCGGUAGAAACUGAUGUGCUAGAGGGUGGAAGAGAGAAGUGGAAUUCUCGGAGUAGCGGUAAAAUGCGUAGAUCUCGAGAGGAACACCGAUGGCGAAGGCAGCUUCUUGGUCCACUCCUGACGUUGAGACACGAAAGCGUGGGGAGCAAACAGGAUUAGAUGCCCUGGUAGUCCACGCUGUAAACGAUGAUCACUAGACGUCAGCUCUGUUUUGCAGGGUUGGUGUCGCAGCUAACGCGUUAAGUGAUCCGCCUGGGGAGUACGGUCGCAAGAUUAAAACUCAAAGGAAUUGACGGGG